Molecule: long non-coding RNA, 695 nt
Filed under: Vigna radiata
Lineage: Eukaryota; Viridiplantae; Streptophyta; Magnoliopsida; Fabales; Fabaceae
Description: long non-coding RNA (VRAD_LNC012602)
Source: RNAcentral
UUGCCCUUCAUCUAAAACAAUCAACCUUCUCACAUGCAACUGUCAUCACAAGGACUUUUUUAAGGCUUAUAAUGAGGCUGGGCUAACAAGAAAAAUUGGUUUUUCUGGAGCACAAAAUCCUUAAGUUAAGAGAACUAUUUUAACAUUCAAAGUUCAAGCACAACUCUCUUUUUCACCAAUCUCACUCUUUCCCAACUUCUUCCUUUUUUCUUUUAUUUUUACAUCGAGCUCAUCUUUCAUACUUUUUCUUUUCUUCUUUUUCUUUCUUUUCUCAUGCAUUUUUUUCUUUUUCAACACUUGAGCUCAAUGCUUUUCUUUUGCCUUUCAACCUUCCCCAAACAACCCCAAACUUGAGCCUUUUCAAUACAUACAAUUAUUCUUAACCCAACUCAAGGUAAAAAAAUUCAAAUCAAGGGUUCUCAUCGUGUUUAAGGCCAAGGUUCAAAAAGGGUAUAACAUUUUAAUCACUUUGGGCAAAAAUUUGGCUAAGUAAGGGCUUCCAAACAUGGCCUUGAUCAUAUGACAUAAACAUGCAAUUUAAUCAAUUAUCAAGACUCAAGCAAUAUCAUUCAUGAUUCCUUGUGAACAGUACAUAUAUCAGGAAAUACUCUGGAGCUCAAUACCUCACACAACAUGCUUUCUCACACAUCAUUCAUACACCCUUCUUAGCAUCAUAAUCACAAUCAUAAAUCACU